Molecule: long non-coding RNA, 315 nt
Filed under: Hordeum vulgare
Lineage: Eukaryota; Viridiplantae; Streptophyta; Magnoliopsida; Poales; Poaceae
Description: long non-coding RNA (HVUL_LNC011869)
Source: RNAcentral
UAUGUGGGUGGACCGAUACUUGGGUACUACCCUUAGUUAGACAAACCUCCCACUUAUGAUUAACCUCUCCUGCAAGCAUCCGCAACUACGAAAGAAGAAUUAAGAUAUAUCGAACAAUAGCAUGAAACAUAUGGGUCCAAAUCAGCCCCUUACGAAGCAACGCAUAAAUUAGGGUUUAAGCUUCUGUCACUCUAGCAACCCAUCAUCUACUUAUUACUUCCCAAUGCCUUCCCCUAGGCCCAAACAAUGGUGAAGUGUCAUGUAGUCGAUGUUCACAUAACACCACUAGGGGAGAGACAACAUACACCUCAUCAA